This 433-nucleotide ribosomal RNA is filed under the name Escherichia coli. RNAcentral's name for it is "bacterial SSU rRNA". It matches the Rfam family "Bacterial small subunit ribosomal RNA", at positions 1 to 430 of the family's 1533-position model. Lineage: Bacteria; Pseudomonadati; Pseudomonadota; Gammaproteobacteria; Enterobacterales; Enterobacteriaceae. RNAcentral also lists the same sequence under 1 other name. The record is from RNAcentral.
AAAUUGAAGAGUUUGAUCAUGGCUCAGAUUGAACGCUGGCGGCAGGCCUAACACAUGCAAGUCGAACGGUAACAGGAAGCAGCUUGCUGCUUCGCUGACGAGUGGCGGACGGGUGAGUAAUGUCUGGGAAACUGCCUGAUGGAGGGGGAUAACUACUGGAAACGGUAGCUAAUACCGCAUAAUGUCGCAAGACCAAAGAGGGGGACCUUCGGGCCUCUUGCCAUCGGAUGUGCCCAGAUGGGAUUAGCUUGUUGGUGGGGUAACGGCUCACCAAGGCGACGAUCCCUAGCUGGUCUGAGAGGAUGACCAGCCACACUGGAACUGAGACACGGUCCAGACUCCUACGGGAGGCAGCAGUGGGGAAUAUUGCACAAUGGGCGCAAGCCUGAUGCAGCCAUGCCGCGUGUAUGAAGAAGGCCUUCGGGUUGUAAAG